This 463-nucleotide ribosomal RNA is filed under the name uncultured bacterium. RNAcentral describes it as "partial 16S ribosomal RNA". It matches the Rfam family "Bacterial small subunit ribosomal RNA", at positions 28 to 507 of the family's 1533-position model. The record is from RNAcentral.
GACGAACGCUGGCGGCGUGCUUAACACAUGCCAGUCGAACGGAAAGGCCUUUUCGGAGGUACUCGAGUGGCGAACGGGUGAGUAACACGUGGGUGAUCUGCCCUGCACUCUGGGAUAAGCCUGGGAAACUGGGUCUAAUACCGGAUAGGACCGCACUUUAGUGUGUGUGGUGGAAAGUUUUUUCGGUGUAGGAUGAGCCCGCGGCCUAUCAGCUUGUUGGUGGGGUAAUGGCCUACCAAGGCGGCGACGGGUAGCCGGACUGAGAGGUUGGUCGGCCACAUUGGGACUGAGAUACGGCCCAGACUCCUACGGGAGGCAGCAGUGGGGAAGAUUGCACAAUGGGCGCAAGCCUGAUGCAGCGACGCCGCGUGGGGGAUGACGGCCUUCGGGUUGGAAACUCCUUUCGCCAGGGACGAAGCGUUUUGUGACGGUACCUGGAGAAGAAGCACCGGCUAACUACGUG